RNAcentral lists this transfer RNA (77 nucleotides) under Chloroflexota bacterium. RNAcentral's name for it is "tRNA-Lys". It matches the Rfam family "tRNA". From Rfam's summary of the family: Transfer RNA (tRNA) molecules are approximately 80 nucleotides in length. Their secondary structure includes four short double-helical elements and three loops (D, anti-codon, and T loops). The record is from RNAcentral. Lineage: Bacteria; Bacillati; Chloroflexota.
GGGCCCUUAGCUCAGUCAGGUAGAGCAACGGCCUUUUAAGCCGGCGGUCGUGGGUUCGAUUCCCACAGGGCCCACCA